This is a long non-coding RNA of Haliotis rubra (blacklip abalone), 363 nucleotides long. RefSeq lists it as uncharacterized. The record is from RefSeq and is a predicted model, not a curated record. Lineage: Eukaryota; Metazoa; Mollusca; Gastropoda; Lepetellida; Haliotidae. The transcript has 3 exons.
UACGAGAGCUUUUAUCGCCCAGUCAGUACAAAGGGAAGUAACUCUCCAUAUAUCUUUUGUUGCCACACGAAGUCUCGAGAAGGGUUUGGACAGUUGUGAAGACUAUUUCUUGGAAACGAAGUCUCUCAGAGAGCCGUGAUGCAGCAGAUAUAUAUGCACUUUCAUCAUCACCACUGCACAUUCGGGGAAUGUUAGGGCCAAGACCAUCGUCAUUGCAUAGAUCUACUGGUGAGAGAACUGAAGCUGGUCAUCCAAUACUGUCGUUGUACUGACGUACAUGACGCCAGCGUUCCAGACUGGUAGGAGUUGAGGAUUCCAAUAUAUCCACACCAGUGGAAUCUGUCAGCACAGAUCCAGAGUGAG